CCCGCUGAACUUAAGCAUAUCAAUAAGCGGAGGAAAAGAAACCAACAGGGAUUGCCCCAGUAACGGCGAGUGAAGCGGCAACAGCUCAAAUUUGAAAUCUGGCCCCCCGGGGCCCGAGUUGUAAUUUGCAGAGGAUGCUUUUGGCGAGGCGCCUUCCGAGUUCCCUGGAACGGGACGCCACAGAGGGUGAGAGCCCCGUCUGGUCGGAUGCCGAGCCUCUGUAAAGCUCCUUCGACGAGUCGAGUAGUUUGGGAAUGCUGCUCUAAAUGGGAGGUAUAUGUCUUCUAAAGCUAAAUAUUGGCCAGAGACCGAUAGCGCACAAGUAGAGUGAUCGAAAGAUGAAAAGCACUUUGAAAAGAGGGUUAAAUAGUACGUGAAAUUGUUGAAAGGGAAGCGCUCAUGACCAGACUUGGGCCCGGUGAAUCAUCCAGCGUUCUCGCUGGUGCACUUUGCCGGGCUCAGGCCAGCAUCAGUUUGCCCCGGGGGAUAAAGGCUCUGGGAAUGUGGCUCCUCCGGGAGUGUUAUAGCCCUCUGCGCAAUGCCCUGGGGCGGACUGAGGU
This 560-nucleotide ribosomal RNA is filed under the name Sordariomycetes sp. genotype 499. RNAcentral's name for it is "eukaryotic LSU rRNA". It matches the Rfam family "Eukaryotic large subunit ribosomal RNA", at positions 24 to 592 of the family's 3401-position model. Lineage: Eukaryota; Fungi; Ascomycota; Sordariomycetes. The record is from RNAcentral.